Molecule: ribosomal RNA, 532 nt
Filed under: uncultured bacterium
Lineage: Bacteria
Description: bacterial SSU rRNA
Rfam family: Bacterial small subunit ribosomal RNA
Source: RNAcentral
AGAGAAUAGAUACCCGGGUAGUCCACGCCGUAAACUAUGGACGCUAGCUGUUAGAAGUAUCGACCCUUCUAGUAGCGAAAGCUAAACGCGUUAAGCGUCCCCGCCUGUGGAGUACGAGCGCAAGCUUAAAACAUAAAGGAAUUGACGGGGACCCGCACAAGCGGUGGAGCGUGUUGUUUAAAUUCGAUGCUAAGCGAAGAACCUUACCCAGGUUUGACAUCCUGCUAAUUUCUCCGAAAGGAGAGAGUGCCUUCGGGCCGCAGUGACAGGUGUUGCAUGGCCGUCGUCAGCUCGUGUCGUGAGAUGUUUGGUUAAGUCCAUCAACGAGCGCAACCCUUUUGUUUAGUUGUAUUUCUCUAAACAGACUGCCCUGGUAACAGGGAGGAAGGGGGGGGUAUGAUGUCAGGUCAGUAUUACCCUUACGUCUGGGGGCUACAAACACGCUACAAUGGACGGUACAAAGGGCAGCCAACCCGGCGAGGGGGGUAGCAAAUCCCCAUCAAAACCCGUUCUCAGUUCGGAUUGUAGGCUG